Molecule: ribosomal RNA, 253 nt
Filed under: uncultured bacterium
Lineage: Bacteria
Description: partial 16S ribosomal RNA
Rfam family: Bacterial small subunit ribosomal RNA
Source: RNAcentral
UACAGAGGGGGCAAGCGUUGUUCGGAAUUACUGGGCGUAAAGGGCGCGUAGGCGGCCUUCUAAGUCGAACGUGAAAUCCCCGGGCUCAACCCGGGAACUGCGUCCGAUACUGGAAGGCUUGAAUCCGGGAGAGGGAUGUGGAAUUCCAGGUGUAGCGGUGAAAUGCGUAGAUAUCUGGAGGAACACCGAUGGCGAAGGCAGCCCCCUGGGCUAACACUGACGCUCAGGCACGAAAGCGUGGGGAGCAAACAGG